GAUGAACGCUGGCGGCGUGCCUAAUACAUGCAAGUCGAGCGAACGGACGAGAAGCUUGCUUCUCUGAUGUUAGCGGCGGACGGGUGAGUAACACGUGGAUAACCUACCUAUAAGACUGGGAUAACUUCGGGAAACCGUAGCUAAUACCGGAUAAUAUUUUGAACCGCAUGGUUCAAAAGUGAAAGACGGUCUUGCUGUCACUUAUAGAUGGAUCCGCGCUGCAUUAGCUAGUUGGUAAGGUAACGGCUUACCAAGGCAACGAUGCAUAGCCGACCUGAGAGGGUGAUCGGCCACACUGGAACUGAGACACGGUCCAGACUCCUACGGGAGGCAGCAGUAGGGAAUCUUCCGCAAUGGGCGAAAGCCUGACGGAGCAACGCCGCGUGAGUGAUGAAGGUCUUCGGAUCGUAAAACUCUGUUAUUAGGGAAGAACAUAUGUGUAAGUAACUGUGCACAUCUUGACGUUACCUACUCAGAAAGCCACGGCUAACUACGUG
This 497-nucleotide ribosomal RNA is filed under the name uncultured bacterium. RNAcentral describes it as "partial 16S ribosomal RNA". It matches the Rfam family "Bacterial small subunit ribosomal RNA", at positions 28 to 507 of the family's 1533-position model. The record is from RNAcentral.